This 255-nucleotide ribosomal RNA is filed under the name uncultured bacterium. RNAcentral's name for it is "partial 16S ribosomal RNA". It matches the Rfam family "Bacterial small subunit ribosomal RNA", at positions 524 to 776 of the family's 1533-position model. The record is from RNAcentral.
CACGUAGGGCGCAAGCGUUGUCCGGAAUUAUUGGGCGUAAAGAGCUCGUAGGCGGUCUGUUGCGUCCGCUGUGAAAACUCGGGGCUUAACCCCGAGCCUGCAGUGGAUACGGGCAGACUAGAGGUAGGUAGGGGGAGAAUGGAAUUCCCGGUGUAGCGGUGAAAUGCGCAGAUAGUCGGAGGAACACCGGUGGCGAAGGCGGUUCUCUGGGCCUUACCUGACGCUGAGGAGGCGAAAGCGUGGGGAGCGAACAGG